CUGUCUCGGCGUCCCCCCCUCCCCCCGCCUUCUUUCAAAAUAAAUAAACUUAAAAAAAAAAAACUUAAAUGGUGGCAGUAGUAAAAUCCUCAGGGUGCCCCCACCCUUGGCUUUAGUCAUUCAGAUGAUCCAAAACACUUCUUUUGGUGAUGAGUUGAUUAAACUAUGACAGUUAUACCAAUAGACCCUAUUAAUUGAAAACACAAGUUAAAAAUUUAAUCUGUUAACCUAUAAGAGCUGGCUAUUUACAGAGUAAAUAAAACAAACAUUUGAGUUCAGCGCUGAAAAAAAAAAGAUUUUAUUAGUCCUUAAGACAGAC
Neofelis nebulosa (Clouded leopard) is the source of this 319-nucleotide long non-coding RNA. RefSeq lists it as uncharacterized. The transcript is spliced from 2 exons. Lineage: Eukaryota; Metazoa; Chordata; Mammalia; Carnivora; Felidae. The record is from RefSeq and is a predicted model, not a curated record.